AGAGUUUGAUCCUGGCUCAGAGUGAACGCUGGCGGCAUGCCUAACACAUGCAAGUCGAACGGUAACAGGCCCGCAAGGGUGCUGACGAGUGGCGGACGGGUGAGGAAUACAUCGGAAUUUGCCCAGUCGUGGGGGAUAACGUAGGGAAACUUACGCUAAUACCGCAUACGACCUCACGGUGAAAGCGGGGGAUCGCAAGACCUCGCGCGAGUGGAUGAGCCGAUGUCGGAUUAGCUAGUUGGCGGGGUAAAGGCCCACCAAGGCGACGAUCCGUAGCUGGUCUGAGAGGAUGAUCAGCCACACUGGGACUGAGACACGGCCCAGACUCCUACGGGAGGCAGCAGUGGGGAAUAUUGGACAAUGGGGGCAACCCUGAUCCAGCAAUGCCGCGUGUGUGAAGAAGGCCUUCGGGUUGUAAAGCACUUUUAUCCGGAACGAAACGCGCAGGGUGAAUAUCCUUGCGAACUGACGGUACCGGAGGAAUAAGCACCGGCUAACUUCGUGCCAGCAGCCGCGGUAAUACGAAGGGUGCAAGCGUUACUCGGAAUUACUGGGCGUAAAGGGUGCGUAGGUGGUUGUUUAAGUCUGUUGUGAAAGCCCCGGGCUCAACCUGGGAAUGGCAAUGGAUACUGGACAGCUAGAGUGCGGUAGAGGGUAGUGGAAUUCCCGGUGUAGCAGUGAAAUGCGUAGAGAUCGGGAGG
This 701-nucleotide ribosomal RNA is filed under the name uncultured bacterium. RNAcentral describes it as "bacterial SSU rRNA". It matches the Rfam family "Bacterial small subunit ribosomal RNA", at positions 8 to 704 of the family's 1533-position model. The record is from RNAcentral.